UCGCCUGUUUAUCAAAAACAUGUCCUCUUGUAAAUUAUUUGAGGUCUGACCUGCCCACUGAGAUUCUUCUUGAAGGGCCGCGGUAUUUUGACCGUGCAAAGGUAGCAUAAUCAUUAGUCUUUUAAUUGAAGGCUAGAAUGAAUGGUUGGACGAGGCAUUGACUGUCUCUGUGUAAUUGAUAUUAAAAUUUAACUUUUGAGUGAAAAGGCUUAAAUGUUUUUAAAGGACGAGAAGACCCUAUAGAGCUUUAUAUUCUAUUAUUUAUAAUUUUUUUAGUUUAAUUAUUAUUAUACUUAAUAAAAUAUUUUGUUGGGGUGACAGGAAGAUAUAAUAAACUCUUUUUAUUUUAAAACAUUUAUUUAUGAAUUAUUGAUCCAUUUUUAUUGAUUAAAAGACUAAGUUACCUUAGGGAUAACAGCGUAAUUUUUUUCGAGAGUUCUUAUCGACAAGAAAGGUUGCGACCUCGAUGUUGGAUUAAGGGUAAUUUUGGGUGUAGAUGNUCAAAGUUUAGGUCUGUUCGACCNUUNNAUCCUUACAUGAUCUGAGNUCAAACCGGAGA
RNAcentral lists this ribosomal RNA (559 nucleotides) under Thaumatoperla sp. BYU_PL109. Its description in RNAcentral is "partial 16S ribosomal RNA". It matches the Rfam family "Bacterial large subunit ribosomal RNA", at positions 1796 to 2622 of the family's 2925-position model. The record is from RNAcentral. Lineage: Eukaryota; Metazoa; Arthropoda; Insecta; Plecoptera; Eustheniidae.